GGAUCCAGACUUUGAUUAUGGCUCAGGAUGAACGCUAGCUACAGGCUUAGCACAUGCAAGUCGAGGGGAAACGACAUCGAAAGCUUGCUUUUGAUGGGCGUCGACCGGCGCACGGGUGAGUAACGCGUAUCCAACCUGCCCACCACUUGGGGAUAACCUUGCGAAAGUAAGACUAAUACCCAAUGAUAUCUCUAGAAGACAUCUGGAAGAGAUUAAAGAUUUAUCGGUGAUGGAUGGGGAUGCGUCUGAUUAGCUUGUUGGCGGGGUAACGGCCCACCAAGGCGACGAUCAGUAGGGGUUCUGAGAGGAAGGUCCCCCACAUUGGAACUGAGACACGGUCCAAACUCCUACGGGAGGCAGCAGUGAGGAAUAUUGGUCAAUGGGCGAGAGCCUGAACCAGCCAAGUAGCGUGCAGGAUGACGGCCCUAUGGGUUGUAAACUGCUUUUAUAAGGGAAUAAAGUGAGUCUCGUGAGACUUUUUGCAUGUACCUUAUGAAUAAGGACCGGCUAAUUCCGUGCCAGCAGCCGCGGUAAUACGGAAGGUCCGGGCGUUAUCCGGAUUUAUUGGGUUUAAAGGGAGCGUAGGCCGGAGAUUAAGCGUGUUGUGAAAUGUAGACGCUCAACGUCUGCACUGCAGCGCGAACUGGUUUCCUUGAGUACGCACAAAGUGGGCGGAAUUCGUGGUGUAGCGGUGAAAUGCUUAGAUAUCACGAAGAACUCCGAUUGCGAAGGCAGCUCACUGGAGCGCAACUGACGCUGAAGCUCGAAAGUGCGGGUAUCGAACAGGAUUAGAUACCCUGGUAGUCCGCACGGUAAACGAUGGAUGCCCGCUGUUGGUCUGAAUAGGUCAGCGGCCAAGCGAGAGCAUUAAGCAUCCCACCUGGGGAGUACGCCGGCAACGGUGCAACUCAAAUGAAUUGACGG
RNAcentral lists this ribosomal RNA (924 nucleotides) under uncultured Bacteroidota bacterium. RNAcentral describes it as "bacterial SSU rRNA". It matches the Rfam family "Bacterial small subunit ribosomal RNA", at positions 1 to 916 of the family's 1533-position model. The record is from RNAcentral. Lineage: Bacteria; Pseudomonadati; Bacteroidota.